GACGAGCGCUGGCGGCGUGCCUAAUACAUGCAAGUAGAACGCACAGUUUAUACCGUAGCUUGCUACACCAUAGACUGUGAGUUGCGAACGGGUGAGUAACGCGUAGGUAACCUGCCUGGUAGCGGGGGGUAACUAUUGGAAACGAUAGCUAAUACCGCAUAAUAUUAAUUAUUGCAUGAUAAUUAAUUGAAAGGUGCAAUUGCACCACUACCAGAUGGACCUGCGUUGUAUUAGCUAGUAGGUGAGGUAACGGCUCACCUAGGCGACGAUACAUAGCCGACCUGAGAGGGUGAUCGGCCACACUGGGACUGAGACACGGCCCAGACUCCUACGGGAGGCAGCAGUAGGGAAUCUUCGGCAAUGGACGAAAGUCUGACCGAGCAACGCCGCGUGAGUGAAGAAGGUUUUCGGAUCGUAAAGCUCUGUUGUAAGAGAAGAACGGGUGUGAGAGUGGAAAGUUCACACUGUGACGGUAUCUUACCAGAAAGGGACGGCUAACUACGUG
Molecule: ribosomal RNA, 505 nt
Filed under: uncultured bacterium
Lineage: Bacteria
Description: partial 16S ribosomal RNA
Rfam family: Bacterial small subunit ribosomal RNA
Source: RNAcentral